GGCUGAUUGGUCAAGCGGUUAAGACUCCGCCCUCUCACGGCGGAACCAGGGGUUCGAUUCCCCUAUCAGCUG
This 72-nucleotide transfer RNA is filed under the name Lachnospiraceae bacterium. RNAcentral's name for it is "tRNA-Glu". It matches the Rfam family "tRNA". From Rfam's summary of the family: Transfer RNA (tRNA) molecules are approximately 80 nucleotides in length. Their secondary structure includes four short double-helical elements and three loops (D, anti-codon, and T loops). Further hydrogen bonds mediate the characteristic L-shaped molecular structure. tRNAs have two regions of fundamental functional importance: the anti-codon, which is responsible for specific mRNA codon recognition, and the 3' end, to which the tRNAs corresponding amino acid is attached (by aminoacyl-tRNA synthetases). tRNAs cope with the degeneracy of the genetic code in two manners: having more than one tRNA (with a specific anti-codon) for a particular amino acid; and 'wobble' base-pairing, i.e. permitting non-standard base-pairing at the 3rd anti-codon position. The record is from RNAcentral. Lineage: Bacteria; Bacillati; Bacillota; Clostridia; Lachnospirales; Lachnospiraceae.